RNAcentral lists this ribosomal RNA (1233 nucleotides) under Triticum aestivum (bread wheat). RNAcentral describes it as "partial small subunit ribosomal RNA". The record is from RNAcentral. Lineage: Eukaryota; Viridiplantae; Streptophyta; Magnoliopsida; Poales; Poaceae.
AUGUGCUCACGCUCUCUCUCAUUCUCUCUCGAUCUCGAGCUCGCCCAAAGCUGCCGUCGAGCACCGCUCGAUCCCGCGACCACCGAGCCCCUCCGGCCUCGCCGAUCUCUCCUAGAGCUCCAUCGCCGUUGUCCUCUUCGUUCGGUGCCAUUGGGUGAAGGCGGGGAGCAGCACAGCAGCGCCGACGACUCGAUCCCCUUCUUCGGUCGCUGGACGCCGCCGCCAUCGAUUCGGCCUCCCUCUGCGCUCCCGUUCACUCGAGGGCCUUCGUGUGCCGCGCCACCCCGAGAACGAUGCUGCCCCUGUGAUCGACUACGUCACCGACGACCCCUCCUUGCCAGAGCAACCAGAGAAAGAAAUAUGUCCAGGAGAAUGUACCAAGGUGGUUCCUCAACUAAGAGAGGACCUAGGUGUGCUAUGCGCGAGCAAGACGAUGAACCACCAAGGGAAGCCAGAGUGCGGGCUUGCGAAUGGCCAUCGGAAGAGUUUAUGGUCAAUGCAGGCAUCAAGGAUGAAUUUGACGCGUAUGUGCGUAAUGCCGAUCUUGAGGACUUCAUACAAGAUAAGUUUCCUCAGUACUACCAAUUGACUGAUUCAUUCAUGAGAAGGUUUAAAUUUUCAUCUUCGCGUAAUUCUCAGAAUGUCAUGUUUGAUAUUUAUGAUGAAUCUUAUACCAUGGACCUAGAAGAUUUUACUACUACUUGCAAACUCCCGCAGUGGGGCAAUGUUCAUGAACCCCACAAAUCUGAAUAUAAAGAUUUCCUCGCUAGUAUCAUUGUUGGAGAAUCUAAGGAUAUAACACAAGCUACCAUAGGGAGCAUUCAUUUUCCUGCUAUACAUUAUUUUGCUCUCUUCAUUGAUAGAUGCAUUAACGGUAAAGAUGAAGCAUGUCACAUGUGUGUCCCUGAUCUUUGUGUCCUCAAGAGUGUUGUAUUAGGUAAUAAAGAUUAUAACUUGGGGUCAAUAGUUGCACGUAGGUUGCAUAAUAAUGGUAUAAUUGGAGAUUUGUUUGGAGGAAUUUAUGCGACCCGUGUUGCUAAUUAUCUUGGUAUAUCCCCACAUGAGGGUGAUAUGGUGUUGUCUCCUGCUUAUUUAGAUUAUGACGCGAUGGCCAAACAUUGUUUUCUUUUGAGGAAUGAACAAUUCUUUCAGUAUAGACUAAUCUUUGACAGACGUCGCGCUGUCCAUGUUACUCUCCCUGCUCCUUCCCUUUUUGAUUACCAGGCAAAAUGA